AACGAACGCUGGCGGCAUGCCUAACACAUGCAAGUCGAACAAGACCUUCGGGUCUAGUGGCGCACGGGUGCGUAACGCGUGGGAACCUGCCCUUAGGUUCGGAAUAACUCCCCGAAAGGGGUGCUAAUACCGGAUAAUGUCUUCGGACCAAAGAUUUAUCGCCUUUGGAUGGGCCCGCGUUGGAUUAGCUAGUUGGUAGGGUAAAAGCCUACCAAGGCGACGAUCCAUAGCUGGUCUGAGAGGAUGAUCAGCCACACUGGGACUGAGACACGGCCCAGACUCCUACGGGAGGCAGCAGUGGGGAAUAUUGGACAAUGGGCGAAAGCCUGAUCCAGCAAUGCCGCGUGAGUGAUGAAGGCCUUAGGGUUGUAAAGCUCUUUUACCCGGGAUGAUAAUGACAGUACCGGGAGAAUAAGCUCCGGCUAACUCCGU
RNAcentral lists this ribosomal RNA (432 nucleotides) under uncultured bacterium. RNAcentral describes it as "partial 16S ribosomal RNA". It matches the Rfam family "Bacterial small subunit ribosomal RNA", at positions 29 to 506 of the family's 1533-position model. The record is from RNAcentral.